UGGGGAAUUUUGGACAAUGGGCGAAAGCCUGAUCCAGCAAUGCCGCGUGUGUGAAGAAGGCCUUCGGGUUGUAAAGCACUUUUGUCCGGAAAGAAAUCCUUGGCUCUAAUACAGUCGGGGGAUGACGGUACCGGAAGAAUAAGCACCGGCUAACUACGUGCCAGCAGCCGCGGUAAUACGUAGGGUGCAAGCGUUAAUCGGAAUUACUGGGCGUAAAGCGUGCGCAGGCGGUUUGCUAAGACCGAUGUGAAAUCCCCGGGCUCAACCUGGGAACUGCAUUGGUGACUGGCAGGCUAGAGUAUGGCAGAGGGGGGUAGAAUUCCACGUGUAGCAGUGAAAUGCGUAGAGAUGUGGAGGAAUACCGAUGGCGAAGGCAGCCCCCCUGGGGCCAAAUACUGACGCUCAUGCACGAAAGCGUGGGGGAGCAAACAGGAUUAGAUACCCUGGUAGUCCACGCCCUAAAACGAUGUCAACUAGUUGUUGGGGAUUCAUUUCCUUAGUAACGUAGCUAACGCGUGAAGUUGACCGCCUGGGGAGUACGGUCGCAAGAUUAAAACUCAAAGGAAUUGACGGGGUCAUAGCUGUUUCCU
RNAcentral lists this ribosomal RNA (590 nucleotides) under uncultured bacterium. RNAcentral's name for it is "partial 16S ribosomal RNA". It matches the Rfam family "Bacterial small subunit ribosomal RNA", at positions 355 to 1375 of the family's 1533-position model. The record is from RNAcentral.